UGGGUGAAUUUUGCUUGUUUUUAGUGAGGAUAAGAGCUAGAAUAUGUUACAAGAAGAGAAAGAGGAUGGUCACAGGAGAAGAAAGCGGACUGUUCUUGUGGGAAAAGUGAUGAGGAAAGUUGAAGCUUUUUGCCUAUGAAUAAACUUUACUUCUUCUGAAACAAAGGAGAGAAAACACUGAAUUAAAGUGUCCAGUCAACCUUGCAAGAGCCGUGUACAGAGGAGAGGCACACUGCCAGAGGCUACAAACUGAAGGCCAUGAAAUACAAUGAAUAAAGUAUAUAAACAGAAAGAAAAUAAAAGCUAAAUGAGAUGACUGCAUGUACAGCAAAGGAGUGACAGACAUGAUGACAUCAUAGCUGCAAACACCCCAUAGAGGAGUUCCAGUAACGAGUUGGAGAGGAAUCCUUGAUCCAGUCUUCCCUGCCCCAACGGAGAGGAGUGUCUAAAUCACAAGACCUGCUACUAGAUACUCUACACGGCAGGGUGCCAUUCUGCCAGAGAUUCCAGACAAACAGACCCUGCUGAGAUAAUUGCCAAGAUGUGUUUCCUGCUUCUGGUAGCUGAAUCCAGCUCACCUCACCCAGGAAUGUCACCUGCCCCGAGGAACAGAUGCUGAGCUGCUUCCAGACUUGGAACACAGACCCAGAGGCCCUGCUGAGAUGACCUGACUGCAGUGACUACAAUUUUCCACAGUUUACUUUGGAGCUGAAAUUCAGACUGAACUAACCCCUCUUCACUUAAAAAGGGUGCAGACUUAGGUAUUUAACUGCUGUUCAGAGACUAAAACUGGUAUUUGAUAACAGCAAUGUCAUUGUACUUUUACUGAAAUUGACCUAAUGAUAUUUGGAACUGCUUAUAGAUGUUGAAAAAAGUUUGACACACCCUGUAAAUGUUUGGGUUUAACGUUAAGAAUUUUAAAUUUUGAUCCUUUGGGGUGCCUUAAAAGAGGAAUGUUGCUUCUAUACUGAUCACACUGAAAUAUAUGACUAAGGUCAAGAAAGGAUUAGAGCAUAGAAGAAACCAGAAAGACCAAAAGGAGGGAUGGUUUAAAAACUGUUUUUUCCACCUCCCGCUGGGUCACCACCCUCUUACCCUCCUUUUUGGGACCUCUUUUAGGAUUUUUAUUAUUGAUAGCUUUUGGAGCAUGAGCCUUCAAUAGGCUCACUAGGUUUAUUCUCCAACAGGUGGACUCCUUGACCUCCAAGCCCAUUCAAGUCCAUUAUCACUGGCUUGAUGUGGCUGAUCAAGGGCUAGAAGAGCCCCUUGAAAGCGAGUCUCCUAUAGGAGCCACAUAAAACCCAGAGAUAUGUGUGCCUGUCCACGAUAGGCAUGGGCACCAGCAAAAGGAGUUCGAGACAAAGCACUGCAGGGAGAGGAUCAUGCAUUCUGUCUCUGAGUCUCCUCAGGAACAUGCCUGAUUGCAUAGAGGUUGAUGUCCAGAGGUACUGAUAUAAAAACCUAGCCCCUCUCCUCCCCAAAAAGACAUCUGUAACUUUGAAGAAAAAUUGGAAAGAAAUUUCUCCCACCAAGUAAACAUGGGAGGAUUGGGCCUCUGCCCCCCUCCCACUGAUUAAUGCCUGCUUAUCUACUAGAUGACCUUUAACUCACCUCAUACUAAUACUUAUAAAAAGGGAGGACCUGCUGAGAGCAAAGACCUGUAUUUUGGUUAUAGCCGUCACAAGUUAACUAAGCUAUUCAGAAGCCUUCUUAUCUCCCUGUGAGUUAGCAGUGCCUACAGGUCUGCAGACCAGUGGAUCCCAGGCACCGGAAGUGAUUAGCAUUUCCCCCUAUAAACAUUUACAGACCCUCAGCAUCUCCUUAUCUCUUCCUGUCAGCUAUGGGAUGCCUCCAGACCUGACAUUCCAGCAUCCUACUCUACCUUCUGCCUGCUUGCUAUAUAAUGCUCCUGAGAAAAAAUAAAGUUGGUGACUUGAUCAGAAUACAGACUAGCUGUCUAUUUC
Long non-coding RNA from Alexandromys fortis (reed vole), 1964 nucleotides. RefSeq lists it as uncharacterized. The transcript has 3 exons. Lineage: Eukaryota; Metazoa; Chordata; Mammalia; Rodentia; Cricetidae. The record is from RefSeq and is a predicted model, not a curated record.